UUGUAAUCAAUGAUCUUCUGGUUGCCAGAUACUUCUUGUAGUACCGUAACAAAGGUAACAAUAAGCUAUUCGUCAAGAUGUAACCAGCGUACAACGAAGAGAUAAAGUGAAAGGGCCAAAAAUAAAAAGGCCUGAAACAAAGUAAGGUUAUACGAACAAUUCUGUGCCAAGUUCCAGUUUUAUUUGGGAGAGGUGCCUAUUAAGAUACCUCUCAAUGGAUAGUUGACAAGCUAGUGGAAGAUGUACCUGUAUAUAGUGGAUGGCCUGAAGUGAGGUCUAACGAUUACGACUUGAUUGGGAAGAUAGAAUAAUUCAAAUCCCAAAACACUGAAGUGGAUAUUUCUUUCUCUUCUCAAGAAUAAGAAACUCUUAUAUUCACCUCCUAAUACGUAUAAGGCAAAUCCAUCCAAGAUGUGAGCACAAUUCUCAAAUUUAGCUCUUGCCAUGUGCCGUGAUGAUCAAAAAAGGAAAGGAUAUCCCCCUUUCAAAGGAAUCUCAGAGAACACUCGAAGCACCAAUUACUACAAGGCAAUUAUAAACAAGAACUGAUUGAUGGGUACAGAAACUUAGAAUUUAACGGAUCUCAUGGAAGCACUAUUUCAAAAAUGUCAUAACGAU
Long non-coding RNA from Leptinotarsa decemlineata (Colorado potato beetle), 618 nucleotides. Lineage: Eukaryota; Metazoa; Arthropoda; Insecta; Coleoptera; Chrysomelidae. The record is from RefSeq and is a predicted model, not a curated record.